This 75-nucleotide transfer RNA is filed under the name Ostreococcus tauri virus RT-2011. RNAcentral describes it as "tRNA-Ile". It matches the Rfam family "tRNA". From Rfam's summary of the family: Transfer RNA (tRNA) molecules are approximately 80 nucleotides in length. Their secondary structure includes four short double-helical elements and three loops (D, anti-codon, and T loops). The record is from RNAcentral. Lineage: Varidnaviria; Bamfordvirae; Nucleocytoviricota; Megaviricetes; Algavirales; Phycodnaviridae.
GAUCCAAUAGCUCAGUUGGUUUAGAGCGUGGUGCUUAUAACGCCAAGGUCACGGGUUCGAGCCCCGUUUGGAUCA